This 574-nucleotide ribosomal RNA is filed under the name uncultured fungus. Its description in RNAcentral is "eukaryotic LSU rRNA". It matches the Rfam family "Eukaryotic large subunit ribosomal RNA", at positions 65 to 655 of the family's 3401-position model. Lineage: Eukaryota; Fungi. The record is from RNAcentral.
ACAACAGGGAUUGCCUUAGUAACGGCGAGUGAAGCGGCAACAGCUCAAAUUUGAAAUCUGGCCUUUUAGGUCCGAGUUGUAAUUUGGAGAGGAUGUUUCGGGUACGGUCCGGGCUUAAAUUUCUUGGAACAGAAUGUCACGGAGGGUGAGAAUCCCGUCUGGAGUUCGGACACGGCCUAUGUGAAGCUCCUUCGACGAGUCGAGUUGUUUGGGAAUGCAGCUCUAAAUGGGUGGUAAAUUUCAUCUAAAGCUAAAUAUUGGCCAGAGACCGAUAGCGCACAAGUAGAGUGAUCGAAAGAUGAAAAGCACUUUGAAAAGAGAGUUAAAAAGUACGUGAAAUUGUUGAAAGGGAAGCGCUGGCAACCAGACUUGCGCGUCGGGGUUCCCCCUUGCUUCUGCCUGGGUUACUCCCCGGCGUUCAGGCCAACAUCGGUUUCGGGGGUUGGUUAAAGGCCCUGGGAAUGUACCUACCCUCCGGGGUAGACUUAUAGCCCAGGGUGUCAUGCGACCUCCCGGGACCGAGGAACGCGCUUCGGCUCGGAUGUUGGCGUAAUGGUUGUCAGUGACCCGUCUG